This 568-nucleotide ribosomal RNA is filed under the name Pichia cephalocereana. RNAcentral describes it as "eukaryotic LSU rRNA". It matches the Rfam family "Eukaryotic large subunit ribosomal RNA", at positions 62 to 648 of the family's 3401-position model. Lineage: Eukaryota; Fungi; Ascomycota; Pichiomycetes; Pichiales; Pichiaceae. The record is from RNAcentral.
AAACCAACAGGGAUUGCCUCAGUAGCGGCGAGUGAAGCGGCAAGAGCUCAGAUUUGAAAUCUCACCUAGUGUGCGAGUUGUAAAUUGCAGGUUGGAGUCUCGGGUUAGACGUGUGUGCAAGUCCCUUGGAACAGGGCGCCACUGAGGGUGAGAGCCCCGUAGCGUGCAUGUCGAUACCUGUGAGGCCCUUCUGACGAGUCGAGUUGUUUGGGAAUGCAGCUCUAAGUGGGUGGUAAAUUCCAUCUAAGGCUAAAUAUUGGCGAGAGACCGAUAGCGAACAAGUACUGUGAAGGAAAGAUGAAAAGCACUUUGAAAAGAGAGUGAAACAGCACGUGAAAUUGUUGAAAGGGAAGGGUAUUGGGCUCGACAUGGGAUUUACGCAUCGUUGCCUCUUGUGGGCGGCGCUCUGGGUUUUUCCUGGGCCAGCAUCGGUUUUCGUUGCAGGAUAAGGACAAUUGGAAUGUGGCUCCUCGGAGUGUUAUAGCCUUUUGUAGAUGCUGCGUAUGGGGACCGAGGGCUGCGGCGGACUCGUUUCGUCUCGGAUGCUGGCACAACGGCGCAAUACCGC